AAAAUCUAAGAAAAUAUAAUUAUAUUAUUUACAUAAUUUCAUUUUGAAUUGACGAAGAUUGCCUUUUUGUCCUCUUGCUAAUAUAUUUUAUAUAAUAAUCUCAACUAUCGUGUUUCCUAUAAUUUUAAAUAAUAUUUCUACUCGUAUGAAAUGAGAAGAAAAAAGUAAGGAGAACUUUAAGAUUAGCGCACGCGACUCAUUCAGAGCUACAUGCCGCAAAAGCGCGUUUAAUUCAAAGUCAUGCUCCGCAUGAAACGCGUGCGGAUGAGAUGCAUUAUUUUUCGUUCUGCAACCGCACCAAACCGCACACAACGCAUACACGCCCGCUCAAUCAGAGUUGCCAGCUUCGCGCGCAGGCUGGCUUCACUUCAUUCCAAUCCACAAGCGCACAGUGUGAAAUGGCAACAGCGCACCAGCGCAGACGACUAAGGCACUCGCAGCAGCAGAGUGCGUAUGCAUUCGCUCGCAUUCUGCAUCCAUUGGACAACAGACUUCGUAAUUGAAUAGUGUUUUGUGUGGUGCCGGUUCGCGUUCAUCGAAUUUAAAAUGGAGUUGACUCGAUGCAAAUUUAUGGAGUGUCUCUGGAGUACAUUUCUACCCAUCGGACAUUUCUCCUAGGAGUUUGAUACGAAAAAACAGCGAGUGAGUCUUCCUCGGGAAAGUCUUACAAGAAGAGAAAUAUCAGGAAUGUGGCUGCUUUAGUGGAUUUUGAUGAGUGUUUGGCCUCUGGAAUGUUGAAAUGGACUAUGCAGCCUCUUAAUUAUGGUGUGCCAAAUAGCUCCAGAACAUUCUGAGUGACUCGGACGAGGAAGUUCUCUCUAAAAUUGGGAAGUAUCGAGUCAUCUGCUGCCUGGUCAAUCCUCCACCUCAUUUGCAUCACCUUCCCUCUUUGGAUGACGACUAUUUCCGUCCCAAUGAAGGCCACGACCCUGAUAACGACCGCCAUUCCAUUGACCACCAUCAAAUUCAACAUUCUUGUAAAAGCCAAUAUGUAAGUUUUUACUCAAAUAAAAUUAAAAUAAAAACUAUAAAAAAUUUUAAUUUACAGUAAACCAUAUUUUUCCCAAAAUUUUACAAAUUUGCCCAGAAAUAUCGCCUGUCCAAAAUUGGACAGUUUAUGGACAGUCAUACCGAGAAGGAUAUCCUGGUGUACAGGUCUCGGUAUAUCCAAAAGAUAUCCGCCGGAUAUCCAUUACGGAUAUCCGAAUUGUAUCCGUUAGCGGAUAUCUUUU
Molecule: long non-coding RNA, 1232 nt
Organism: Cloeon dipterum
Lineage: Eukaryota; Metazoa; Arthropoda; Insecta; Ephemeroptera; Baetidae
Exons: 4
Source: RefSeq, a predicted model, not a curated record